CCCUUAGAUGUCCUGGGCCGCACGCGCGCUACACUGAUGCAUUCAACGAGUUUUACCUUGGCCGAGAGGCCUGGGCAAUCUUUUGAACCUGCAUCGUGAUAGGGAUAGAUUAUUGCAAUUAUUAAUCUUGAACGAGGAAUUCCUAGUAAACGCAGAUCAUCAAUCUGCAUUGAUUACGUCCCUGCCCUUUGUACACACCGCCCGUCGCACCUACCGAUUGAAUGGUCCGGUGAAGCCUCGGGAUUGUGGCGAGCUCCCUUUAUUGGGAGUUUGUCGCGAGAACUUGUCUAAACCUUAUCAUUUAGAGGAAGGUGAAGUCGUAACA
RNAcentral lists this ribosomal RNA (325 nucleotides) under uncultured eukaryote. Its description in RNAcentral is "partial 18S ribosomal RNA". It matches the Rfam family "Eukaryotic small subunit ribosomal RNA", at positions 1470 to 1796 of the family's 1831-position model. The record is from RNAcentral.